Molecule: long non-coding RNA, 546 nt
Organism: Danaus plexippus (monarch butterfly)
Lineage: Eukaryota; Metazoa; Arthropoda; Insecta; Lepidoptera; Nymphalidae
Exons: 3
Source: RefSeq, a predicted model, not a curated record
UCAAGGCGUUACACGUUAUUUUAUUACAUGUAACUGUCGUUUAAAUUCCACAUGAGAGUAAUAGGCUGCUGUAGCCUUUAUAUUAUUUAAUUUGUUACCUCUUGUUUUCGAAGCGUAGAGUAACCAUGACUGAGGUGUAUUUCUUUUUAUGUACUACAAAUUAUUUAUUACAAUGAACAACAUUCAUUCGACAUUCGGGGCGAUAAUUGAUCUUGUUGUUUCAAUAUUAGAAACGGUGUGAUAUACAUUGAUGAUGGUCACCCUGCUGCUACGUAAGUUUGAUAGAAAGUCAACAGUGCAAGGCUAUUUGGAGGUCAACCGGAUAUUUUUUGAGGAGAUAUAACGUGAUUUUAAAAGUGAAAAAAAUCUAUCAGUUUUAUUAAAUAAGUGUGGUUGAUUAAAUAUUAUACCAAGGACGGUCCGUGAUGACGGAGUUGUUUAUUUUGUGCAGUGUUCUCACAGUAAGGUGAUUACCAGAGUAAGGGGUUUGUUGAGAAAAUACAAUAAAAAAGUUUUAGAAGCUAUAAAAGGUCUGAACAGCCAUAU